Bactrocera dorsalis (oriental fruit fly) is the source of this 2615-nucleotide long non-coding RNA. RefSeq lists it as uncharacterized. NCBI's taxonomy places the organism in Eukaryota, Metazoa, Arthropoda, Insecta, Diptera, Tephritidae. The transcript is spliced from 2 exons. The record is from RefSeq and is a predicted model, not a curated record.
GGAGGAAUUUCGUCAAACAAUGCUGUUUCGUUAACGGGGCAUCUCGACAGGCAAAAAUUUAUGGCAUACUAACUGUUAAAUCUGCUGCUAUUCGGCCCUGUCGUAGAAUCCGACUUGGAAUUGGUUUUUGCCGGGAAUUAAAACCGAUAUCGGUUUCAUUUGGUGUCGCGAAAUGCUAUCGGAAUAAGCUUUUUUCGAACAUGAGCAAAACCGAUAUUCGAAUCAGCUGUUCCAUUGAUGUGUUAAAUUAAAUUUACGCUUAUUUGUAAAAAAUUGAGCAUUUUUAUAAUAUUUGAACUGUUUUGUGAAAAUUCAAAGAAAAUAACUUAAAUAUAUUAUGGCAGCUGCAAUUGGCAUAUUGGGUUGGGUUUAGUAUCGCGCCGGUUAAUUUUCGCUCACUGUACCUAAACGAGAGAACCAAAUUGAAAAUUUUAAACAGGCCUGUAUGCUUAAAUUAUCGAACUUUAUUUUAAAACAUAUUUUAUAAAAAUCGGUUCACAAAUUUUUCCAAAAAAUUCACUUUAAAAAAUGCUAAUUUUUGCAAAUUUCUCAAUAUAUGCUAGUGUAUUUUCACCUGUUGUGCAUUGUACCAAACCAAUUAUGCAUACAUUUUCACGCACAUAUAUUACUUAUGAAUUAUAAAAACCACUAGUAAUGUUUUUAAUUACUUUUUAUUGUUAAUUUCUUUGUAAAUCUUUAAAUAAAAUACACCUUUUUCUGCAUUGAGUUCAAUAAUGCGAAAAACCAAAAUGACUGCCUAAUGUGAACUGUCAAAUUGCCGAGAAAGCACGAACAAAAGGAAAUAAAUUAAACCCAGUUAGCAAUAAAUGUAUGAAGUGAACGCGAAAAGGUGUUCAAUGCUAAAAUACUGUGGACGGCAUAGCCGGUGUUGGACCGGCCAGGGUUAUUUUUUUAAAGCGCGCCCGAAGGCCGCCCACCCAAAAAGGAGUUCUAUGCGAAAAAAAAUCUGAUACACCCCGGUGUAUAUACAAUGCACUGAAACAUUUUGGUUUUCUUUAUUUUGAUUUCUUGUCCAUAUAAAAAUGUUGGCUGGGUUGCAUUGCUUUCAGUUUGUAUGGAAAAAUGAGCAAAAACACUGAUUUGGGUUUAUUAAAAAGUUCGAUCCUUCCUCUUUCCAAUAAGGUGGCGUGAGGGGGGAUAGCCCCCCCUGUUUUUCUCCAUAAACGAUACUAAACCGGCGCGAUACUAAACAUUUCCCGCCAUAUUACUUAUGAUGGAGGAGGAGCAGCAACACAGUUUAAAGCGGCGAAUAUUACGAGAUAAGAGCAACCCUCUCGAGAUGCCGGAGUCAACGUAUACAAAACUUUACUUCAAUGGCUAUGUGUUUAUAACUCACUUAUUUGUAGAUUUAUUGCUCAAUAUCGCUUAAACAAAGAAGCUUUUGUUGUGGUAUUGGACAAAAUUCAGCCACGCUUACGUUCAUCGACGAUUCCCGCAGUGCUUCAACUUGCUGCAACGCUUCGUUUUUUUGGCGAAGGCCCAUAUCAGCGAUUAGUGGGAAAUGAUGCAAACAUAAGUAUGGCAAGAAGCACUAUAUCUGAAGUGCUAACACGAGUGAUAAAAACAUUAGAACAUUCUAUAUGUCAUCAAUGUGUAAGCGAUGGCAACUCUGUUGCCCAUCAAGUGUCAAAUAAAAUAAAGCAAGUGGCAGCAACCAAAGACACAGUCAACGAGCAACCGUCAGCGAGUGAGCAACAUAAACGAAAUAUUUGAGAACAUCCAGUAAAGUUGAAUAAGUGUAACAUUUUUCUUAUAUUCACAAUAAAGUUUUGUAUUAUUAUAUAUAAGUGUUUGACUGCGCACACGAGUACGGUGUUUCUCUACAAAUUGAUACAACUUGCAAUGGGAGCCAGUGAAAAACAACACUCCAAAGACUAUUUUUAUAACAAAUAUAGAAUUCCUGGCAUCAUUGGCUGCAUCGAUGGAACACAUAUUAAAGUUAUAAAGCCUUCCACUGAUGAACACCUCUAAUUUCAUAGAAAAGGAUUCUUCAGUACGAACCCUAUGAUUGUUUGCGACAGUAAUAUGACGAUUCGUGCAGUAGAUGCAAGGUAUCCUGGACCCAGUCAUGAUGCGUUUGUUUGGAGCAUAAGCACCGUUCGACAGCACUUUCUUAGGGAGUACGAAAUUGGCGAUCGAACUUCCAGGUUACUAGGAGACAGUGGAUAUGGUAUUGAACCGUUCUUAUUAACUCCAUACAGAGAUCCUGAGUACGGCUCACUGCAAAAUACUUUUAACAGGGCUCAUUCUUCGGCAGGCAAUGUGAGUGAAAGAACGAUAGGCCUUUUAAAAAGUCGCUUUCGAUGCUUACAAGGUACAUUGCAAUAUAACCCACAAAAGGUGGUUAAAAUUGUCAAUGUUUGUUACGCACUGCACAACAUCUGUCGGUGCUAUAACAUUGAAUGCCCCAAUAUAGAAACUAUCACCGUUUCCACAGAGGUUUACGAGGAAAAUUCUGAGGGCCAACGGAUCCGAAACGAAAUAGCAAACGCUCUUUAAAUCUAUUGUUCUUUUGUUAAGGCACACAACAUGAAAUUGUUUAUUUAAAUACGUAAAUCCUUAAAUUAAUUAAAUUAUAGAAUUCAUUGUACAUA